CAGUCGCCGCGGGAAUACGUAGGUGGCAAGCGUUGUCCGGAAUUAUUGGGCGUAAAGGGCUCGCAGGCGGUUUCUUAUGUCUGCUGUGAAAUCCCGGGGCUCAACCUGGGAAUGGCAGUGGAUACUGGCAAGCGAGAGUGUGUCAGGGGAUGGUGGAAUUCCCGGUGUAGCGGUGAAAUGCGUAGAGAUCGGAAAGAACACCAACGGCGAAAGCACUCUGCUGGGCCGACACUGACACUGAGAGACGAAAGCUAGGGGAGCAAAUGGGAUUAGAUACCCCGGUAGUCCCUGUCUCUUAUAC
Molecule: ribosomal RNA, 301 nt
Filed under: uncultured bacterium
Lineage: Bacteria
Description: partial 16S ribosomal RNA
Rfam family: Bacterial small subunit ribosomal RNA
Source: RNAcentral